CACCGCGGUUAUACGAGAGGCCCAAGUUGACAACCGCCGGCGUAAAGCGUGGUUAAGUUUAAAUUAGCACUAAAGCCGAACGAACACAAAGCUGUUAUACGCAUUCGAAACCAGAAGCUCAAUUACGAAAGUAGCUUUAUACUAACCGAACCCACGAAAGCUAGGGCA
This 168-nucleotide ribosomal RNA is filed under the name Odontanthias rhodopeplus. Its description in RNAcentral is "partial 12S ribosomal RNA". Lineage: Eukaryota; Metazoa; Chordata; Actinopteri; Perciformes; Anthiadidae. The record is from RNAcentral.